UGUGUAGGCGGUUCUUUAAGUUUGGUGUGAAAUCUCCCGGCUUAACCGGGAGGGUGCGCCGAAUACUGAGGGACUAGAGUACGGGAGUGGAAAGUGGAAUUCCUGGUGUAGCGGUGAAAUGCGUAGAUAUCAGGAGGAACACCGGUGGUGUAGACGGCUUUCUGGACCGUAACUGACGCUGAGACACGAAAGCGUGGGUAGCAAACAGGAUUAGAUACCCUGGUAGUCCACGCCCUAAACGAUGCAUAUUUGGUGUGGGCAGUUCAUUCUGUCCGUGCCGGAGCUAACGCGUUAAAUAUGCCGCCUGGGGAGUACAGUCGCAAGGCUGAA
This 330-nucleotide ribosomal RNA is filed under the name uncultured bacterium. RNAcentral's name for it is "bacterial SSU rRNA". It matches the Rfam family "Bacterial small subunit ribosomal RNA", at positions 568 to 898 of the family's 1533-position model. The record is from RNAcentral.